Molecule: small nucleolar RNA, 72 nt
Organism: Mustela putorius furo (domestic ferret)
Lineage: Eukaryota; Metazoa; Chordata; Mammalia; Carnivora; Mustelidae
Product: small nucleolar RNA, C/D box 113-3
Source: Ensembl
UGGACCAAUGAUGAGUAUCCUGGGGUGUCUGAAUCAAUGAUUUUGAUUAAACCCUAUAACUCUGAGGUCAGA